Molecule: ribosomal RNA, 974 nt
Filed under: uncultured delta proteobacterium
Lineage: Bacteria; Deltaproteobacteria
Description: bacterial SSU rRNA
Rfam family: Bacterial small subunit ribosomal RNA
Source: RNAcentral
AGAGUUUGAUCCUGGCUCAGAACGAACGCUGGCGGCGUGCCUAACACAUGCAAGUCGUGCGAGAAAGCCUCCUUCGGGAGGUGAGUAAAGCGGCGCACGGGUGAGUAACACGUAGGUAACCUACCCACGAGCCUGGGAUAACCCACCGAAAGGUGGGCUAAUACCGGAUAUGACCACGGGAGUGACAGCUUCUGCGGUGAAAGGUGGCCUCUGCUUGCAAGCUACCACUCGAGGAUGGGCCUGCGCGCCAUUAGCUCGUUGGUGGGGUAACGGCCUACCAAGGCUAUGAUGACUAGCUGGUCUGAGAGGAUGACCAGCCACACUGGGACUGAAACACGGCCCAGACUCCUGCGGGGGGCAGCAGUGGGGGAUAUUGCGCAAUGGGCGAAAGCCUGACGCAGCGACGCCGCGUGGGUGAUGAAGGCCUUCGGGUCGUAAAGCCCUGUCGAGGGGGACGAAACAGUUCCGGCCGAAUACGCCGGGACCUUGACGGUACCCCUAAAGGAAGCACCGGCUGACUCCGUGCCAGCAGCCGCGGUAAUACGGAGGGUGCAAGCGUUGUUCGGAAUUACUGGGCGUAAAGCGCGUGUAGGCGGCCCGCUAAGUCUGAUGUGAAAGCCCGGGGCUCACCCCCGGAAGUGCGUUGGAAACUGGCAGGCUCGAGUCCCGGAGAGGAGGGUGGAAUUCCUGGUGUAGCGGUGAAAUGCGUAGAUAUCACGAAGAACACCGGUGGCGAAAGCGGCCCUCUGGACGGUGACUGACGCUGAGACGCGAAAGCGUGGGGAGCAAACAGGAUUAGAUACCCUGGUAGUCCACGCCGUAAACGAUGAGCACUAGGUGUCGCGGGUAUUGACCUCUGCGGUGCCGCCGCUAACGCAUUAAGUGCUCCGCCUGGGGACUACGGCCGCAAGGUAAAACUCAAAGGAAUGACGGGGGCCCGCACAAGCGGUGGAGCAUGUGGUUCAAUUCGACGC